CAUGAGAAGGGUAGAUGGGAAGCCAGCGGAAUAGCUCACUCUUUUGAGAUCUGCUGCAAUGGAUGGGUUGAGGCUCGGUGGCUGUUGGAAAAAGAAGGGGCAAGGAAAGUCUUUUUAGGAUGAGAGAAACCAACAAGUGCAAGUUUGUGAAAAGAGGCUGGUGUCUUUAGAAGAUGGAAAGGGAAAGAAUCAAGCACAGAGAUGUAAAAGAGAUCAGAGCUGUUUAUUUGCUGAGAUAAUUUUGGCUUCUGCAUGGAGAAGAAGCCAUAAAAAGGCAAGAGCAAAAGUGGGGAGAAUAUUCAGGAGGCUACUCCAGGAAUCCAGGAACUAAGGCCAAGAGAGGGAAAGUGACUUGCCAUUCAUGGAGCAGAUGUCAGGCCGGGCACCACUGCAGAGCACACUGUGAAUUAGCCACAUCAUACAAACUCUAUCUUCUCUGAGAAAUGGAAUUUUACCCAGAGUUGGGGAAAGAAGGUGUAGUAAGGGGAUGAACUCUCCGACCUCUUAGAAUCACAGAAGCUACACAGGAAAAGGGAAGACUGCGCUCGGCCUGGAUUCUGGCCCCACCUUAGCCCCUGGCAUGUUCCUCUCUGGUUCUCUGUCGUUCUACAAGGCUACAGUGCGUGGGUUACAAACCCGCAGAUUUAAGGGAUUGUGAUUUAUGUUCUGUAGGCCUUAUGGGAUUCUACCGUUUCAGCAAGCUGCAUGCUUACAUCUGCAAGGGAUUUUUUUUAAAAUAAUGAUGCUUAUUAAGGCACUUACACUUGCAUUAUGUUAAUCCCCAUGACACCUCUGAGAAGUAGGGAAGGACUGUUAGGUUUUUGUUUUUUGCAGAUGAAAAAAACAAUGCCAGAAGUUUUGUUAAAAAAAGUUCCCCAAACAAAAGCCCUCCAAACAAACCUGUUCUUGUUGAUUUAAUAAGAAAAUUCUGAGAUACGGAAAUUAAAAUAAAAGUAUAAUUUUGACACCAUCUAGGCACACACACACGGUGCUAUGGUACAGUGUGGUUCUUGAGUCACAAUGACACACCACGGACUUAAAAUGACCACUAUUUGAGCAUUAAUAAUGCCUUGGUGUUACUCAGCACAAAAUUUGACUCACUAAGGAGGUUUCUUUUGGUUUGUAGAGGACUAAAAGGAUUGAGCUGGUUUGGUGGUGUAUUAGUCCAUUUUCACGCUACUGAUAAAGACAUACCUGAGACUGGGUAAUUUAUAAAGAAAAUGAGGUUUAAUGGACUUACAGCUCCACGUGGCUGGGGAAGCCUCACAAUCAUGGCGGAAGGGGAAAGGCACAUCUUACGUGAUGGCAGACGAGAGAGUGGGAGCCAAGUGAAAGGGGAAAACCUUUAUAACACCAUUAGAUCUCGUGAGACUUAUUCACUACCACGAGAACAGUAUAGGGGGAACCGCCCCCAUAAUUCAAUUAUCUCCCACUGGGUCCCUCUCACAACACAUGGGAAUUAUGGGAGCUACAAUUCAAGAUGAGAUUUGGGUGGGGACACAGCCAAACCCUAUCAGAUGGUUAUAAAUAUCUAGCUAUAAGAAAUGAAAAUGUGGAGACCAUGUUCUGGUGCCUAGUGCAAAACAGUCCUAGCCUUUUGCCAGCAUAGUUAACUGGAUUACUGAAUUACUAAAUACUUGGAAUAAUCCAACUAUGUGUCCAAAGCUACAAUCAGGCUUAGGUGACAAAUGCUCUUAGCCAGCCUGAGCCUGUGCCUGUUCUUACAUUCAAAACCCUAAUAAUAGCAAGCCUCCUGGAUCUGGAAAAGCUGAAGAUGCAGUUUUGUGAAAAGAAAGCACAAGGCAGCAAGGGACCCAGAAUCUUCCAAGAAGGUAGGGCAUAGUUCAUAGUGUGUCUUCCGGAAGAAAAAACCCAGACAUUUAGCUUUCCUCUUAUUUCACUGUCAAAUGGCAACACUGUUGCAUACAUCAGGGCUUCCUCCUUUCUCUUCUCUUGUGCAGCUGUGGGUUUUCCAAAGGCCUAGAUCUACUGUGAGAUCUUCACUCACUGCCCAUUUCUCAGUGCCCCUGCUCCCUCUCCUAUGGAUCCAGGAAUGCGAGAUUGGGGCUGAAACUCAGCCUCCACUUUCCAUAUGCUCCUGGUGUGGUUGGUGGUUUAUUCUUUGUCAUCCAUGACCCCACAAAAACUACUUUCAUCUGCAUUUAGAGACACCCUUUGGUUCCCUACUCUCUGGGUUGCUCAGCAAAAAUAUUUUUGUGUCUGCCUAUCAGCGGCACUCAUAUUUUGUAAAUGAAAAGAUGGAUGGAUGAUGAAUGAAUGUCACUUUUUACUGUUCCUAGUCCCUUACCCCCCAUCUCUAUAUCCACUCCUCUUAUUCCUUUGGACAUGCAGUUUCAUCCUUCAAGAUUCAGCCCAAAUGUGAAAUAGUAAGUAGCGGGUAUUUAAAUAGCUAUGAAUGAUGACAAAGAAAUUAUUCUUACUUUUAAGAUGGUGGUGGGGAGGACUGUCCCCCUUUUUUAGCCUUUCGGCGGAAACAAAAUCACAAUGACCAAUUUUGUCAAGCAAAACAAUUAUUUUUUGAAAGUCACAUUUAUGGGGUCUGUUCUCCAUGAGAUCACAGAGGGCAUUUUUGACUGAAAAUCUGGUGCCUUUAAGUUUUAUAAAGCAGAUUGUGCAAGGACUUUGGCUCAGGUUUUCUGGAUGGCUCUUUAAACAUGUGGAUAGAUGUCGCACAGCCUUAGGCAGUUGAAAGAAGCAAAGGGAUCUUCUUGGAAGAGUGCAAAAGACAGCUGAGAGCAGGUGACCUGGGUUGGGCUUAUGGAUGAGGCAGGUGCUAGGGACAGGGCCUGUUUACCCUGCAGGGGGAGGGGGUAAUUGCAGCAACUUUUGACUCUGUAGGCAUGAGAUGAAGGACAGGCAGAACCUAGAAACCAGGGACAGGGUGUCCAAUAGGCUUGGGCUCUGGGCUUGAUGUAAUGCAUAGGAUUCUGAUCCUCAGGAAGGAGAUUGUGGAAUGAGACAAAGUACUGAGAUGGGAUCUCUAAAUGAGGGGGCUCAAUGCACCAAGGUGAGACAUGAUUCAGGGAACAGUGUAGGAGCCCAGUGGUUAGGAUUCUCAGUCAGGUGGGUGCUGGCAGCAUCUACCUAACCAAAACUGCCUUGGCCCUGGGAGAGGUGUACGGGAGAUGGAGGCUACCAAGUAUUACAUUCAUCACUCUGCCAUCCAGGGGCAAACAGAGGGUAGAAAAGGCCAGGAAAGGAGGUAGCGUGUCAUGCUUAAAAACGGAGACUCUGGAGUCAGACUUCCUAGGUUUACCAGCUCUGACUCUUACUAGCUCUGUGUAUCUAAGUCACUUCACCACUUUAUAGAUGUUUCUUCUUCAUCUGUCAAAAAGGAGAUAAGAGUAGCAGGUGAUUCAUUUUGUAGUUAUGAGGCUAAAAUGAGUUGGUGAAUGUAAAUGGCUCAUUACAAUGAAGGCUCAAUACCUUUUAAUUAUCAUUAAAAGAUAGGGAGGCAAUUGCUGGCUUUAUUAAGCAACCUAGUUUAGAAAUCCAAGUUGGACAUUGAAAUAUAAAAGAUCAUGGCUUGCAAAGUAGUCUAAGCCAUGUUUACGGGUUUAACUUUUUACUUAAACAACCUCUCGAGCCCUUGUUCUGCAGACUAGGUAGUGCUCAGAGUUUUCUGGCAAACACUGGCCUUCUUUUUCUUCCUCCUCUUGGUCUUUAGUAGGCAGAGUUUUGGUUCUUCCUUUCCACUUUUUCUUUUAAACUACUCCAAAUUCUUGACCUGCCUGGACCUCUGACCUCAUGACAACUCUCUAAGCUGAAGAAACAGCUUUUCUCCGAGGCUAGCUUAAGAAAGUCUUAGUGACUCACUUGAGGACCGAGGUUGCCUGCAGUCUCGCUGCUCUGAGUGUGGUUCUGCAUGACAGCAGCAGCAGCAGUAGCAGCAGCGGCACCCAGGAGCUUGUCAGAAUGCAGGAUCUCAGGCCCCCACCCAGACCUGCUCACUCAGAGUCUGCAUUUUAACAAGAGCCCCCAAGUACCUCGUGUGCAUAUGAAAGCCUGAGAAAUAUUGGGGAAAAAUAAUUUCAUUAUUUGCUCAUUUCCUCAAAAUGCACCAGAAACACCAUGGAGAACAAAUGUGUUGGUUCCUGGUUGCAGCUGACUCUGUAGCUGAGGCCGUGAAAUGGCUGGAGAAUGGCUGGAUAGCACAAGGGCAGCCUGAGGGUUGGCUAUGUCCCUGAAGCUGCCCACAGUAGAAAAUGCAAAGAGAUCUUUUUAAUACUCAGCGAGCAAGAAUGCAGAGGCCAAACUUCAGCAUUCUGAAUUGAAAUUGAGGCUACUAACAGGAUAGGGCUCCAUUAGCCAUCACACUGGACUGAGUUUUACACAAGGGACCAUAGCUUUCUGACUCCUACAUAUGGCCUGGCAGCAAAUAGCUGGACUCAGCUAGUGGUUAAGAGUGUUAACAAGUGCUGUGCACAUCCUGCCUAUACCCUCUCAGCCCAGCUUCUUCAUGCAAACACAGGCCAUUCUUUGCCUAAGAGCUCUUUUUCUGGCUGUGGGAACAUAGCCUGAUUAGGGAGCAGCCUUCAAUCAGUCACAAAUGGGAAUUUGUGGGUAAAUACUUCAGCUCCCUCAGCCCACAGGUAGGGAUAACAGUGAGUUAUCUAUCCUGGCACCCAGAGUUUCCUAGUAGAAUCGAGGUCCUGUUGUCCACUCUGGUCACUUGCUUGACAAUGCACCAUGUUGGCUGCCUUCCUGUGCCCUGGUCACCUACUGGUGCUUCCUGUGCCCUGCUCACCUACUGGUGCUUCCUGGCAUCACUUUCUGAAUAAGUGACUUGUGAUUACAUCCGUGUCUCAAGGUCUGCUGCUGGGGGAAGCAAACCAAGACAAAAGCAACAGACUUGGGUCUGCAUUUUGACCCCUGUGAUUUAUCAUUUGCCUGACCUUAGGCAGGUCAUAUAAUCACUUUGAGGAUUAGUUUUCUCUUUAAUAAAAUGAGGAUAAUGAAAAGAACUCUGUAUCUGGGUUGCUGUUAAAAUUAAAUGAACCAGUUAGCUAAGAACUUAAUACCAGUGAAAGCUGAAUAAAUGAUAGAGUAGUUAUGACUCAGCUAUUAUCCACAUGUACUAUUAUAGAAGAACUAAUCUAUGGUGAUAAAAGAUUCUGGUACUCAGGUGUUUUUUUUGUUGUUGUUGUUAUUGUUUAAGAAAUGAGGUCUUGCUAUGUUGCCCAGGCUGGUCUUGAACUCCUGGCCUUAAGUGAGCCUUUCAUCUUAGCUAACCGAGUAGUUGGGCUUACAGAUAUGAGCCACCAGGCCUGGCUCUAGUACCCAGUUUUGAAUUUAGCAUCACUAAAAAUGCACUUCUGAGUCUUUUCCUGUUUUUUUAGGAAAUAGACUUUCGGUGUUCUGAUUUUGCUCCCUUGCAGAACUUUCCUUCUAUUUAGUCUUCUCAGGUAUUCAUUCUGGCUUUGUGGGAAAUGGAGAGAGAAUAAUAAUGAAUAGCUUUGGAGUUAAUGGUCAAGCCUAUUUACACAGGCUUAAAAGUUUAUUAUGAUGGUCUGAGUAGGUUUAAGUAUAUCUUAGGUAUUUUUUCCUACAGAGAAUUAAAAAAUCCAAGGGCCCAGAAUUCUGAUUCAUUUAUAGUUGGCUUAAAUAACAAAGGAUGUCCACUUCCAUUGGUACUGCUAAAAAAUAGAACCUCCUCCUCUCCAACAGGCAGAAGAGUAUUGUUAAGGUGUAAGGAGAGGACAUGAAGCAGAGGACAGUCUGUGAGAGCAGAACAAGUUUAGAGUUGCAUGAAAUUCCACAAUCCCAUUGUUUAAGAAUGCUCUGGUGCAGGUGGCCAUUCUUAAAACCUGUCUCACAAGUUAUUAGCUUCUAUCUGGACUGGUUGUGUGUGUCAUGCACAUACAGUUUCUGCAGAUCCUAAACAAUCCCUGUAUUAUCAGUCCAAUCUGUGUGGAUGCAUAUGAAGGAUUAAGACAUCACUGCAUACUAAAGCAGUUAGUAUUAUCUUGGGAAUAGCAGAGCAAGAAACAGAGCCAGCAGCAUCUGAUGCUGUACAUAUUAUAACUCCAUUCAGUUCUUUCCCUGUCCUUAUACUUCUUGCUUCCCUCACCUCUCAAGAAAGAAGUCAUUCAGAGGACCCUGGAAAUAACUGCUCUCAAGGGGUCUGUUUUUGUGAUGUAAAUACAACAGCAGCAGAAUAUGCUCGUGUUUCAAAGUUGUAUUAAACAUGUGGGUGUGUGGGAACAAGGGUUCUGUGCACCUGUGAAUGAAAGCCUAGUGGUUUCCUAUUGCUGCUGUAAGAAGUUAGAAUACACUUAGUGACUUUAAGACAACACAAACUUAUCUUACAGUUCUAGAGGUCAGAAGUCUGAAAUGGGUUCGACUGGGUGAAAAUCAAGAUAUUGGCAGGGCUGUAUUUCUGUCUGGAAGCUCUAGGGGAGAAUCCAUGUCCUUGGUUUUUCCGGCUUCUAGGGAAAUGCUUCCUGCAUUCCUUAGCUUGUGGUCUUCUUUCAUCUUCAAAGCCAGCAAGGGCUCUUUAAGUCUUUCUCACAUUGCAUUGCCCUGAUCCUCACUCUUUUGCCACUCUUUUCCACAUUUAACAACCCUAUGAUUGCACUAGACCUACGUGGAUAGUCUCUUUAAGGUUAGCUGUUUUGCGGCCUGAAUUCCAUCUGCAACCUGAAUUCCCUUUGCCAGGCAACAUAAUGUUUGUAGGUUCUGGGGAUGAGGGCAUGGACGUCUUUGGAGGGUGAGCAUUAUUUUUCCUACCAAAGAGAGCAGAAGAGCAACAGCAGCUCAGGCAUAAUAGACUCCCAUGGGUUAGAGGACAGACUCUGACCCUAGCUGCACCCAAUUCUCAAUUAGUUGGGAAGGGCAGUAUUUACCCAGAUAGCUCCAGGCUUCACUAUUAAUCAGUUGUAUGAUCUUGGACAAGUUGCUUAAUAACUCUAAGCCUGAAUCUUCUCAUUUGUAAAGCAGUUCCUACCUCAUGGAAUUCUUCACAGGGCUAAAUAAAUUAGAGAAGGCCAUUACCUCAGCAUCUGGCACAGAGGACUUUCUCAAUAAAUGUUAGUUGCUAGUCUAAAUAACAACAGCUAACAUUCAUUGUUAGGAUAGAGAUAGUAACUAUUAUCUAUUUUUCAUGAGUACAAAGGGAGGGCAUGAAGAAUAAGUUACUGAAUGUUUUGAGAGCUUUGUAAAAUUGGGAGAUAAAAUUUAACCCUUAAAUUGUAAUUUCAGCAAAAAGUUAAGAAUUUAAGGGAAAAUUUUAUUGGAAAUAAUUUGAAACGUAAUAGAAAAAUUCCAAGAAUAAGAGUACUGCAAAGAACACCCACUUACUUUAACCUAGAUUCACCUAUUAACACUUUAUCCCAUUUGCUUAAUCAUCUCGUCUAUGCAUAUUUAUAGCUAUGUCUGUCCACCUGUGUUUAAAUGUGUGUGUACACACACACACAAUUGUUUCCCUGAAUUAAGACAAAGUUGCAUAUAUCAUGGUCUUUACCCCUAAAUAAUUCAAUGUGUCUUCUUUAAGAAUAGGGUAUUCUCCCCUUUAAGAAUAGGGUAUUCUCAUACAAUUACAGCAGGAUUCAGCAAACCUUUUCUAUAAAAAAGCCAGAUAGUUUUACUUUAGGCUUUGUGGACCACAUACAGUCUCUGUUGCGUAGUCUUCUUUUUCUUUAUACGACGCUUUAAAUAUGUAAAAGUGUUCUUAGUUCACAGGUCAUAAGUUGUCUACCCCUGGACUAUGGUGAAAUGAUCCACUUCAGUAUUUUUAAUGUUGAUACACUAUUCUUAUCUAAUAUUAUCUAAUUUACCAUGCAUCUUCCAAUUUUUCAAACUGGCCUAGUAAUUUCCUUUAUGCAUUUUCCUGUCUCUUUUGGAAUCUAGUCUAGGACCCGCCAUUGCACUUGGCUGAUACUGUUCUUUCUUAUCCUUUAAUCUGGGCCAUUUCCUCAGCCUUUCACUGUCUCUUAUGGUAUUGACAUGUUUAGAGAAUACAAUUCCCUUUUUAAAAAUAGAACAUUCCUAAUUUGGGGUUGUCUGGUGACAGGAUUCAGUGCUCUAACCUGCAUCCCAUAUAAAUGAUGUCAAAGGCUUUUUAGGGUAUCAUAUCUGGAGACACACAGGGUCCAUCUGCCCCUCACUGAUGACUUCCAGGUAAUAGCAAAUGGAAAAACAACAACAAAACAAAACAACACAAAAACAGAGAAUAGAGAAAUUCUAAGAGAACACUGCUGUAGAGACAGACGAUCUUCAGAAUUAUUAUUUUUUUUUCAUCCAGUGCUGUUCAAAGCUUUAACUUAAAGCUUGUGUCUCUGUUUCCAUCUCUACUAGACAUAUGGAGAAGGCAACUAAAUGUUUUGAGAAAAACCAGUUUAGCUGGGGAACAGCAUGGUAAGAAGCAGAACUCCCAGGUGCCUUUUGUUGCUUUUUGAAGUACAUACAUUCUUAGCAUGAUUGUUCAGGUCAUGCUGAAAGUCCUGCUGCUCUCUGCAUGCUCCAGAUUAGUUUUCUGCUUGAAAUAAUCUUUUCUUCUUCCCUGAUUAGAAUUAUCUUAAUCCUUCAGCAUCUACUGCAAAUGCCAUCCAUUUUAUGCAAUUCCCAAGGAGAAAUAGACUCUUCAUUUUUCCAUAAUGUUUUCUACUGUCCCUUAGUGACACUGAUGACAAUGACGAGGGUAAUAAUAGUAAUAACAUAGCAGCUACAAAUAAUUCAGUAGUUCCCAUUGCCAGGCAUUGUGCUAAGCACUUAUAUGCCUUUUCCAACCACAGUAUUAUUUGUGUAUCAUAAUUAUCCUCAUUUUUGGAAUAGAAAAAUUGAGAUCCAGAAGGUAAAGUAGUGUGUCUAGGACCACAGUUUCACAGUCUAAUAAGCUGUAGGAUGAGGACACAAAUGCAUGGGUCAAAGCCUGUACUUUGUUUUAAAAUAUUGGAGCAAUGGUUUUAAUUUUAUAUAUGUUGUAUGAUUAUAAUAAUAUUGUUAGCUUAAAUUUACUUACAGGGAAACAUACAAAUAUUAAGUGUACAAUUCGAUGAAUUUAAAUAAGAAUGUAACCAUCACCCCAUCAAAAGAUUGCCCCAGAAAGUUCUUUUAUGCCUCUUCUCACCAAUUCCCUCCCUCCAAACCAGAGACAAGCAUUGUUAUAAUUUCUAUCAUCAUAGAUUAGUUUUGUCUAUUUUUGAAUUGACUACAAAUGAACUCAGACAGUAUGUAUACACGUUUGUGUCUGGUUUAUUUCACUCAAAAUAAUUAAAAUAAUUUUUCUUGAGAGUCAGCC
RNAcentral lists this long non-coding RNA (9259 nucleotides) under Homo sapiens (human). Its description in RNAcentral is "HSALNT0264611". Lineage: Eukaryota; Metazoa; Chordata; Mammalia; Primates; Hominidae. The record is from RNAcentral.